AUUGACCCUAUCCCAAAGAGACCUUACAUCAAGGUAACCCCCAGACCAGGAACUCUUUUGGCCUCAGCUGACAUGUCAGGGGAAGAGCAGGAUUUCUGGAGGACCCACCAAGCAUCCUGCUAGCAGAGGUGAAAGAUGACUUGAAGGUUCCCCGAAGAUCUCCCAGUCUCUCCUCUCUAACCACUGUGAGCCUUAAACACCCCUGGGGAAUCCAGCCUGAGAUGAAGCAGGAGAGCAGAGUGGAUUGGGCCCUGUCUCUGUCUCUCUCUCUCCCUCCCUCCCUUCCAGCCCAACUCCAUCAUCCCUUGUUCUGCGAAAGCAGCGAGCUCCGUCCCCACCACAGUGCUCUGGAUGCUGUCGGAAGGCUCCCUGCUCGGUGAGAUUCUCCACACCUCCUGGCUGCUGGGUAACGGGUGACGGGAGCAAACAGCCUAGGCCCCGCUCUGCCCUCUGGCUGGGGAGAGCUGCAUGGAGCUAGGAGCUGGGAGAGGUCUUUCCCUGCAAUCAUGAUUGGUGCUUGGGGUGGGAUUGACCUUUCAAGGUGUUGAGAACUCAUCCCCUGGUGGGUGGGAUGCUGGCUUGAAGGGCUGGCUUGGUUUGCAUCACGGGCAGCUUUCUCCAUAUAGGGGUGUUGGGACAGGAAGGAAUUCUCUGGUGUAAAGACCAAGGUUGUCCUCAUUUCCUCCUGGGUGAUCCGACUCGUCCUGCAGUCUUUGGUUUGAGUGUGACUGGUGGGGGCAGCUUUACAUCUUCGCUCUGUACCGAGACAGUGCAGAUUUGGCUGGGCCUCUUCUCUGCCUCAGAAAGAUCUCUGAACCGCUGCUUCUGGUUGGGAGUCACCUUGCUUCCUUGUCUAGCCCGGGGCCUUGACCGACACCACACCUUCCGCAGCUUCCCUCCUUCAUCCCUGCCAUAGAGUGUCCCGCCACAGAGAUGGGGCCAGCAGAGCUCGUGUGCGGGACGAGAACCACCAUGUCUCUACCACCGGGUACCUCCAACAAUAGUCUCAACUCCCUGUUAAUUGCAAUUGGCUCCAGCAGAGGAGGAUGGAGUGUGGGGACUGCAGGCUUCUCUGCAUUGGAUGAGCAUGGCAAGCUGCUCCUGAUCUCAGAGCACUUUACAAAGGAGGUGAAUGGGGGACUCUGAAGCACAGAGAGGAAAUGUGACUUGCCCAAGGUCACCCAGCAGUCAGCUGCUGAACUCCAGCUCAGAGAGGCAGAAGAAAAGUCGACGGGGGAACUGCAUCCGUCGAUCGAGCGCCGUGAGGACGCGAAGUAAGUAAUUUUAAUUCAAUCUAAGAUACAUUGAAUUCAGCUACGCUAUUCUCAUAGCUGAAGUUGCGUAUCUUAGAUCGAUCUCCCCCCUAGUGUAGACCAGGCCUAAGGCACCUUUCUACCACUAUAACUGCCCACAGUAGAGCUUGUGUUGUAUAUCUGUCAGUUAACCUCCCCCUCCCUCAGCUGACAGUCCUACUGGAACCAACUCUGAAGCCAACAAAGAAAAGGUGCUUUGGCUUUUGAGGAGUGCAAUCUGAUCUCUUUACUCAGCUAGGCAGUAACGAGAAAUAGCUUCUCUCAAAUGAUUAAUAGUGAUUAAUAAAGUCAGUGCCCUUCUAGGUACUAUUUCCUAG
RNAcentral lists this long non-coding RNA (1630 nucleotides) under Gopherus agassizii (Agassiz's desert tortoise). RNAcentral's name for it is "lncRNA (ENSGAGG00000014556.1)". The record is from RNAcentral. Lineage: Eukaryota; Metazoa; Chordata; Testudines; Testudinidae.